Non-coding RNA from Ailuropoda melanoleuca (giant panda), 73 nucleotides. NCBI's taxonomy places the organism in Eukaryota, Metazoa, Chordata, Mammalia, Carnivora, Ursidae. The record is from Rfam.
GCCUGGCUGGCUCAGUUGGAGGAGCAUAUGACUCUUGAUCCUGGGGUCAUGAGUUCAAGCCCCAUGUUGGGUG